This 253-nucleotide ribosomal RNA is filed under the name uncultured bacterium. RNAcentral describes it as "partial 16S ribosomal RNA". It matches the Rfam family "Bacterial small subunit ribosomal RNA", at positions 524 to 776 of the family's 1533-position model. The record is from RNAcentral.
UACGAAGGGUGCAAGCGUUACUCGGAAUUACUGGGCGUAAAGGGUGCGUAGGUGGUUUUUUAAGUCUGAUGUGAAAUCUCACAGCUUAACUGUGAAACUGCAUUGGAUACUAUCCGGCUCGAGGAAUGGAGGGGAGACUGGAAUACUUGGUGUAGCAGUGAAAUGCGUAGAUAUCAAGUGGAACACCAGUGGCGAAGGCGAGUCUCUGGACAUUUCCUGACGCUGAGGCACGAAAGCCAGGGGAGCAAACGGG